UCAGGGACUCAGACUGCAGUAGAAAACUGAAGAAUGUAUUAAUUACAGUAUUCUGGCUGGGGAAGGCUUCCAGUGUGUGUCCCUCCUAUGACGGCCCUGUCCUAAACCUCAGAGAGUUUGAGGGACUGCGGUCACACAUGACAACGGUGAGUGAGGACAGGUCUGGGUCAGACAGUGUGAGGCCAGGUGUGAGGGACAGUGGUUACGACUGUUGGGACUCAGAGCG
This is a long non-coding RNA of Coregonus clupeaformis (lake whitefish), 226 nucleotides long. RefSeq lists it as uncharacterized. NCBI's taxonomy places the organism in Eukaryota, Metazoa, Chordata, Actinopteri, Salmoniformes, Salmonidae. The record is from RefSeq and is a predicted model, not a curated record. The transcript is spliced from 3 exons.